GAUGAAGAACGUAGCGAAAUGCGAUAAGUAAUGUGAAUUGCAGAAUUUAGUGAAUCAUCGAAUCUUUGAACGCAUAUUGCGCCCGCCAGCACUCUGGCGGGCAUGCCUGUUCGAGCGUCAUUUCAACCCUCAGGCCUCGCGUCUGGCGUUGGGGCACUGCGGCCCUUCCUCAGGCCCCCAAAUCUAGCGGCGGAUCCGCCGCGGCCCUGAGCGCAGUAGAGAGUAAAAACUUUAACGCUCCGGCGGCCGUGGCGCGGUUCUGCCUCUCGCCCAAUAGCGCCAAUAGCGCCACCCCCAAAAAGUUGACCUCGGAUCAGGUAGGACUACCCGCUGAACUUAAGCAUAUCAAUAAGCGGAGGA
Molecule: unclassified non-coding RNA, 360 nt
Filed under: soil metagenome
Description: partial contains 5.8S ribosomal RNA, internal transcribed spacer 2, and large subunit ribosomal RNA
Rfam family: 5.8S ribosomal RNA (bases 1-120)
Source: RNAcentral